Molecule: ribosomal RNA, 491 nt
Filed under: uncultured bacterium
Lineage: Bacteria
Description: partial 16S ribosomal RNA
Rfam family: Bacterial small subunit ribosomal RNA
Source: RNAcentral
GAUGAACGCUAGCUACAGGCUUAACACAUGCAAGUCGCGGGGCAGCAUGGGGGUUGCUUGCAACCCCUGAUGGCGACCGGCGCACGGGUGAGUAACGCGUAUCCAACCCGCCCUUCACCACGGGAUAACCCGGCGAAAGUCGGACUAAUACCGUAUGUUGUCCAUUGACGGCAUCCGAUUUGGACGAAAGGCUUGGCGGUAAAAGGAUGGGGAUGCGUCCGAUUAGCUUGACGGCGGGGUAACGGCCCACCGUGGCUACGAUCGGUAGGGGUUCUGAGAGGAAGGUCCCCCACACUGGAACUGAGACACGGUCCAGACUCCUACGGGAGGCAGCAGUGAGGAAUAUUGGUCAAUGGGCGUAAGCCUGAACCAGCCAAGUAGCGUGCAGGAUGACGGCCCUAUGGGUUGUAAACUGCUUUUAUGCGGGGAUAAAGUGGCCCACGUGUGGGCUUUUGCAGGUACCGCAUGAAUAAGGACCGGCUAAUUCCGUG